UACGUAGGGUGCAAGCGUUUAUCCGGAAUUAUUGGGCGUAAAGAGCUCGUAGGCGGUUUGUCGCGUCUGCUGUGAAAACUGGGGGGCUCAACCCCCCAGCCUGCAGUGGGUACGGGCAGACUAGAGUGCGGUAGGGGAGAUUGGAAUUCCUGGUGUAGCGGUGGAAUGCGCAGAUAUCAGGAGGAACACCGAUGGCGAAGGCAGAUCUCUGGGCCGUAACUGACGCUGAGGAGCGAAAGCAUGGGGAGCGAACAGG
Molecule: ribosomal RNA, 256 nt
Filed under: uncultured bacterium
Lineage: Bacteria
Description: partial 16S ribosomal RNA
Rfam family: Bacterial small subunit ribosomal RNA
Source: RNAcentral